CUGAAGAGAAUGAUUCUACUUACGAGAACAAAUACAAUAAGCUGGUUCUGGUGACUAUAGUGUCCCUUUAAGUUUGGAAGCUUAAGAGGGAUGUAUGGCAACAAAACUUGUGUGGACUGGCUGACAAUAAAAUUAGUUUAGGUAAUGCAGACUUUGGUUUCUCUAACACUGUGGCAUGUCCCCUUUCUUCUACACUCACUACAUACACCUUUACUCUGUCCCAGACUGUAUACCAGG
Non-coding RNA from Pelobates cultripes (western spadefoot toad), 237 nucleotides. NCBI's taxonomy places the organism in Eukaryota, Metazoa, Chordata, Amphibia, Anura, Pelobatidae. The record is from the annotation of a GenBank genome assembly.